CUUUCCAUCACGAUUUUUUGGCAUUAACAUUCAAUUAUUUAUUUUAUUUCAUAAAUUUUCAUUAACUUAGUUUUUCCUUCAACACAUUUGGAUGCACAAAACUUUUCCCGUCUUGGGUAUUUGUGUACAUCUACUUUUUUUUUUUGCGGCUUUUGAAUUUUCAGCACCUUCUGGUCCGAGUUUAAGCGCCUGCAAGAGCUGAAUGAGAAUAUCAAGCCCUCCAAGCGUAAUUUUGGCAUGAAAUAAAAAGCUCCUCCUAAAAAUCCAUCAUACCACAAAUUAAAGAAAGAGUUCAGUAAAUUUCAAUCAUUUGGUGGCAUAUUUAAGUUUGCAAACAUCCCGCAAAUGCAAAUCAAAGUUUUUUGUUCAAAAGCUUCUUGGAACGGUGCCAUUACGAUAUGAAUUGUGGUUGUGUUAUUAAGCAUUGUACAUAUUAUUAAAGAAAACACUGACACUCAUAAUCAAACUUUUUGGAUUGUGAUGUUAAGCAGACAUCUUACGGUAGAGUUCAAAGAAAAGCUAUCCAAUUAUGUGGUACAUAAGAAGUUUCGGGAAAAAAAUUAGGGAAACUAAUGAAGCCUUGCAGCUAAGCGCAAGAUAAAGGUGCAACGGUAAAAGCGACCAGAAUGUCCGAUAGUUAAGCCUUCUACAAAUUGGUUACGAUACUUUGAUAGAGGAGAGGCUAUCAUGCCCAGAUAUUCAAGAUCAUCGAUCUUAAUCAUGUGGCAACGACCAAACUGAGCGACAACAUGCUCUUGUAUCUUCCCUUUAACUGCCGUGGUGCUUAUAGCCGAAUUUGGUGCUUCCAACGGAGCGGAGGCCUUUCCCUUCCUCUGCUCACACACUAUCUCACACUGCUCAUCAUUCCAUCGGCUGCGGUAUUUGCCAUUCCCAACUCGUAGAGAACCGUAAAAUACGCUCGACAGGACCUUAUAUGCGAUAUUAAGGACUCUUAUUCAAUGGUAAUUGGCACAACCUGUCUUUUUGUAUCAUAAUCUGCGAAGGUUAGCAUAAUGCCAUCAAAAUUAACUCAAUAAACUGUGUUUAUUUUUUGGUUGGCAAACAAAAUAUAGUUACUGGUUAUUUUGAUAAUAGUAUAAGUCAGUCUGUUCACAAAGUUUUGCAAAGUAGUUAGUAAUUUUGUCAUGUCUACGAAC
This 1157-nucleotide long non-coding RNA is filed under the name Ceratitis capitata (Mediterranean fruit fly). RNAcentral describes it as "uncharacterized LOC105665534, transcript variant X2". The record is from RNAcentral. Lineage: Eukaryota; Metazoa; Arthropoda; Insecta; Diptera; Tephritidae.